This 483-nucleotide ribosomal RNA is filed under the name Triticum aestivum (bread wheat). RNAcentral's name for it is "partial small subunit ribosomal RNA". The record is from RNAcentral. Lineage: Eukaryota; Viridiplantae; Streptophyta; Magnoliopsida; Poales; Poaceae.
AUGCUCAAUGAGGCACUCCUCCUCCUCCCACAGGAACUCGAUGUAGCGCGCAAGGUCGAUGACGCACGUGCGGGCCUCCACCUCCGCCUCCUGCCUUCGGGCGGUGGUGGCGGAGCGGGUGAUGACCCCCGCGGUCAACGAUGGGCUAGCGGCCACGACCACCACCUCCCGCCUUCGGGCCGCGGUGGCGGAGCGGUGAUGGCCAUGGUGGUCGGCAGUGGGGUGGCGGCCACGACGGCCACCUCUCACCUUCGGGCCACGGCGGCAGAGCGGGAGAUGGCCCUGACUUUCGAUGGUGGUGUGGUGGCCACGGCGGCAGACGGUGGGGUGGCGAGAACAGCGACCGGCAACAACUGCCGACGGGAAGCGGCGGUGGAGCGUGUGGUGGGUACUCCGCACACACGCAACAGGGACACCAUGCACACUACACUAUGCCGGCUGGAGCUGUCCUCUGAUGACGGCGGAGUGGCUGAGCGACGAUAA